Molecule: small RNA, 65 nt
Organism: Phormidium ambiguum
Lineage: Bacteria; Bacillati; Cyanobacteriota; Cyanophyceae; Oscillatoriales; Oscillatoriaceae
Rfam family: Cyanobacterial functional RNA 1
Source: Rfam
GCGGAGACGCAUGUUUCCGUUCACUCCUCACACCACACUCCGCCCGGACUAAUGUUCGGGCGGUU